Molecule: long non-coding RNA, 267 nt
Organism: Rosa rugosa (rugosa rose)
Lineage: Eukaryota; Viridiplantae; Streptophyta; Magnoliopsida; Rosales; Rosaceae
Exons: 4
Source: RefSeq, a predicted model, not a curated record
AACAGACUGAGGAUGUUGCUUAUAGGAUCACUGCUAAGGCCUCGGAUGUUGCGCAUACUAUGUAUGCUGUUCUUAAUUAUAUAUCGGUUAUGGUGGUGAAGAUAGUGGUCAUCAGCCAUAUUUUAUCUGGGAUUUCAGCUGUGUGACCCGGAGGAGGAAGAGCAAGCUAGUCAUGCUGAAAAGGAGAGGGAGUUGCUCAGACAUUUCCAUGAACAAUCUUUGAGGGCAAAGCUGAAAAACGAAAAGAAAGGUAGAGGCUUUUCUCAA